CUUCACUCUCGGCAGUUUCUUGCCUCCGUGGGUGGUUGGCGCGUCUGCGGAGCCAGGGUCGUUGUGUGGAUCGUGGGACUGCAGCCCCAGCCAAAGGGCUGUCACGUCUGGUCGGUUCCGUCACCCACGGUUCCGGUUUCCAGUCGUUAAGGGUCCAGCAGUCUGUUAAGUAGCUCUCUGUCCCUUCUGGAAGCUUGGCCAGGGAAGAUCAUUCCACCUUUGAGUUCCAGAUGAAGUCUUGCUGUGUCGUCCAGGCUGGAGUGCAGUCGCACUAUCUCAACUCAUUGUAACCUCUGCCCUUGUUCUCUAAAAUCACUGUUAUUCUGUUCUUUUUUAAGGUGCAGUGAUUUCAUAUUGUUCAAACACACAUGUUUACAGUCAGAUUUCAUAUUGUUCAAACACACAUGUUUUACAAUCAAUUUGUUAGUUAAUGCAAUCAUCACAGGGUCCUGAGGUGACGUACAUUCUCAGCUUACGAAGAUAAUAGGAUUGAGAUUAAAAUAAAGACAGGCAUAAGAAA
Molecule: long non-coding RNA, 520 nt
Organism: Symphalangus syndactylus (siamang)
Lineage: Eukaryota; Metazoa; Chordata; Mammalia; Primates; Hylobatidae
Source: RefSeq, a predicted model, not a curated record